RNAcentral lists this long non-coding RNA (471 nucleotides) under Amphimedon queenslandica. Its description in RNAcentral is "uncharacterized LOC109588176, transcript variant X1". Lineage: Eukaryota; Metazoa; Porifera; Demospongiae; Haplosclerida; Niphatidae. The record is from RNAcentral.
GAGAAAAGAAAUUAAAAGAUUGUGAUUCCUGUGUCACUGUUUCUAGAGUCGAUGUACCAUUGCCUGUUGUGCAUUUUGAAGAAUUGGUUAAUAGGACUAAAAGCAAAUCAUUGUACACUUUUUCUAGCUACAAAAACUGUUGCAGAACAAGUUAUGUGUGUACUACUAUGAAGCUGUAGUUUACAGCAAUGGAGCAUAUAUACCGGUUAAGGAAAGGGAAAACACUCACCAUCUCAGUCUAUUUGUGCUUUAUAAAUUAACUUUUCCAUUAUGAGAAAUGGAGGCCUUGUCACUAUUUUCAUGUAUGUUUACUAGAGGGACAGAGCAGUUUUCUGAAAAGUGGUAUCGUUUGCCGGAUACAUUUGGUAGCUCAUACUAUAAGGAUACUUUGUCCUAGUGGGUGUGGAAGUGAAAUUAGUUUUGAGGGUUCUAUAUGCUUUAUUUAUUGUAACAACUCAAGAUCUUUGAAUA